AACGAACGCUGGCGGCAGGCUUAACACAUGCAAGUCGAACAGAUCCUUCGGGCUUAGUGGCAGACGGGUGAGUAACGCGUGGGAAAGUACCCUUUGCUAUGGAAUAACUCAGGGAAACUUGAGCUAAUACCGUAUGUGCCCUACGGGGGAAAGAUUUAUCGGCAAAGGAUCGGCCCGCGUGGGAUUAGCUAGUUGGUGGGGUAAUGGCCUACCACGGGGACGAUCCAUAGCUGGUCUGAGAGGAAGGUCCGCCACACUGGGACUGAGACACGGCCCAGACUACUACAGGAUGCAGCAGUGGGUAAUAUUGGACAAUGGGCGCAAGGCUGAUCCAGCCAUGCCUCGUGAGUGAUUUAGGUCUUAGGAUUGGAAAGCUCUUUCACCGGUGAAGAUAAUGACGGUAGCCGGAGAAGAAGCCCCGGCUAACUUCGUG
RNAcentral lists this ribosomal RNA (433 nucleotides) under uncultured bacterium. Its description in RNAcentral is "partial 16S ribosomal RNA". It matches the Rfam family "Bacterial small subunit ribosomal RNA", at positions 29 to 507 of the family's 1533-position model. The record is from RNAcentral.